This 1586-nucleotide long non-coding RNA is filed under the name Androctonus crassicauda. Lineage: Eukaryota; Metazoa; Arthropoda; Arachnida; Scorpiones; Buthidae. The record is from RNAcentral.
CCACAAUCGAGAUGCCAUGCAAAUGGCGGUCCCUCAAAUACCCCUAUACGUACCUUCCGGGGCCCCGCACACUGUGAUUGACAGUCUUGUGUGAGGCGAACCCCAGCUGCUCGCACCCAACAUAUUGCGGAGCACAGUCGCUAAUUAUUGUUGUCCCCGGCUCAAUGUAUUCAUACAUGUAAGUCCACAGGACAGCACAGGUCUUGUUCAGUACCUAGGUGGGAAAACAGGCAUGAAAGUGCUCGUUGCUCGAAAGGCCGCGCAUUGUUGCUGAUGCCACAUACAUCCGCAUGCAAUACUUACAUGCCAGUAGAGGCCCUCUUUCAUCUCGUGACAGUAAAUCCCAAACAUGGUGAUGUUGUGGGAUCCUGUCACAUGGCCUCUAUGAUAUUUUCUUCUGCAGGCGAAGGUUUUGUCGACCUGCAGAGAGAACAAUAGGAAUCUGUAUGCCUAGGCAGAAUGAGCAACUUGAAGGGGUAUUGAACAGCAUACUUACUUCUAUAGUUUUCCCCAGCUGCCAAUCUUCAUUUGCAUGUGCAAAACUUGCACUUGGGCAACCUCCCGGAAAAAGUUGUAGAAAUCGAUAGCUGUCCUGCGGGAUACUUGACACUCUGUCUCGGCAGUGGAUACAGCGAGUCUAACUACCCACACCAUCAUGAGGCAGACAACCUGAAAAUAUAAGAAAGCAACACAGUUUGCGGGAGGCCAGGAGGCAUCAGCAUAUAGGGCUGACGAGACCGGCAGCACCGUGUGCCCAUGAGCAGCCAGAGCACACCGGUGAAGUGCUUCACCGUGAUGAAGACUGGUGGAGCCCCUUACCUUUGUGAAAGUGAUGUGGACACGUUCAAAGAAGGUGUUAUGCAAUGGAGACAGCAAACCAUGCACUACUCCCUCCUGGCUUUUUUUUCAGCACCUGUGAUGUUGGUGCAGGGCCACUGGUGCCACAACACCUGUACGUGAUCUGCAGUGCAUUGUCCCGGGAAGCCUUUGGUCGCAUUGGGCCUAAGGGAGAGAAAAAUAACACAAAUCGUCAUGCACCCUGUAGAGGUCUGGCCGUGGAAUAGCGCCGGCAUGUGCCAGGAAUCAAAAGCUGCAGCAGGGCAAGCCUCCCCACUGUGGUUGCUUACCUUGGCAUUUCGAGCAAGGAGGCGGUACGGUGGAAUCCCAGUCACAGCAUGUGUCAUUCGGCAUUGUACCCCGAGCACGCCUACCGGCAUUGCCCGGUCAAGGCUGGUAUAGAGGUUCCGAAGAGUUACUCGCAAGUCAACAGUAUAGCAUAGUGGGCUCAGUGAUGGGCCACAGAGUAGGACCUCUCAGGUUUGAGACACACAGGAACAUAAGGAUUUUACCAGAAAUGUAAACAUAGAAGUACGGUGAAAGAAGAAGGCCGGCCUCCUGUCAGGCACGGGAACACGACAGGGGGCGACAAUAGGAUACCCAGUGGAAACAAAAGAUCAAAGGGGGGUCCCAAACAUGGGUGAAUGCAUUUUUUGCUCACGUGCGAGCGCCGCGCAAUGCAGACAACCUUUUUCCAACUGCCCCAAAAUGCUGAACCCUGUUUGCAUCCUGUCCACCCCAAAAAAAUG